ACCAAAGGACAAUACAGAUCUGUCAAAACCUCAUCCACCAAAAUAUUCAUCAUUCUCAAAUAUUCAUCCUCUGGACAAGGGUUUGUAUAGUAUCCUUUUUUAGACAAUCACAAUGAAUGGAUGAAUAAAUCUCUCUCUCUCUCUCUCUCUCUCACUCGCUGCAAAAGAAGGAAGUUCAACACUUUCUCAACACUCAGAGGAAUCGCUGCAGGAGUCCCAACUGCCAAGUAUAUCACAGCCUCUUGAAG
Pimephales promelas (fathead minnow) is the source of this 248-nucleotide non-coding RNA. The record is from RefSeq and is a predicted model, not a curated record. NCBI's taxonomy places the organism in Eukaryota, Metazoa, Chordata, Actinopteri, Cypriniformes, Leuciscidae.